GAUGAACGCCGGCGGCGUGCCUAAUACAUGCAAGUCGAACGCGAAAGUCCUUCGGGAUGAGUAAAGUGGCGCACGGGUGAGUAAUACAUGGGAACAUGCCCUUGGAUGGGGAAUAACGUUUGGAAACGAACGCUAAUACCGCAUAAUCUCGCGAGAGUAAAGGUGGCGCCGCAAGGGCUACCGUCCAAGGAUUGGCCCAUGUCCCAUUAGCUAGUUGGCGGGGUAAUGGCCCACCAAGGCAACGAUGGGUAACUGGUCUGAGAGGAUGAUCAGUCACACUGGAACUGAGACACGGUCCAGACUCCUACGGGAGGCAGCAGUAGGGAAUAUUGCACAAUGGGGAAAACCUGAUGCAGCAACGCCGCGUGAGUGAAGAAGGCCCUUGGGUUGUAAAGCUCUUUAGCGUGGGAAGAAGGUAGAUAUGGUGAAUAAUCAUGUUUGCUGACGGUACCACGAGAAUAAGCACCGGCUA
RNAcentral lists this ribosomal RNA (472 nucleotides) under uncultured bacterium. RNAcentral's name for it is "partial 16S ribosomal RNA". It matches the Rfam family "Bacterial small subunit ribosomal RNA", at positions 28 to 499 of the family's 1533-position model. The record is from RNAcentral.